GAUUAACGCUGGCGGCGUGCCUAACACAUGCAAGUCGAGCGGCAGCGAGUUUUACACUGAAUUCUGGAAGCUUCUAGUUGAAAGAGAAGAUUUAUUCAAGAAUUUUGUGUAAAAUGUCGGCGAGCGGCGGACGGCUGAGUAACGCGUGGGAACGUACCCCAAAGUGAGGGAUAACGCAUCGAAAGGUGUGCUAAUACCGCAUAUGGUCUUCGGAUUAAAGUCUUCGGGCGCUUUGGGAACGGCCUGCGUAAGAUUAGAUAGUUGGUGGGGUAAUGGCCUACCAAGUCGACGAUCUUUAACUGGUUUGAGAGGAUGAUCAGUCAGACUGGAACUGAGACACGGUCCAGACUCCUACGGGAGGCAGCAGUGAGGAAUCUUCCACAAUGGGCGAAAGCCUGAUGGAGCAACGCCGCGUGCAGGAUGAAGGCCUUCGGGUUGUAAACUGCUUUUAUAAGUGAGGAUUAUGACAGUAACUUAUGAAUAAGGAUCGGCUAACUACGUG
This 502-nucleotide ribosomal RNA is filed under the name uncultured bacterium. RNAcentral's name for it is "partial 16S ribosomal RNA". It matches the Rfam family "Bacterial small subunit ribosomal RNA", at positions 28 to 507 of the family's 1533-position model. The record is from RNAcentral.